This 490-nucleotide ribosomal RNA is filed under the name uncultured bacterium. RNAcentral describes it as "partial 16S ribosomal RNA". It matches the Rfam family "Bacterial small subunit ribosomal RNA", at positions 30 to 507 of the family's 1533-position model. The record is from RNAcentral.
AUUGAACGCUGGCGGCAUGCUUUACACAUGCAAGUCGGACGGCAGCACAGAGAAGCUUGCUUCUUGGGUGGCGAGUGGCGAACGGGUGAGUAAUAUAUCGGAACGUACCGAGUAAUGGGGGAUAACUAAUCGAAAGAUUAGCUAAUACCGCAUAUUCUCUGAGGAGGAAAGCAGGGGACCUUCGGGCCUUGCGUUAUUCGAGCGGCCGAUAUCUGAUUAGCUAGUUGGUGGGGUAAAGGCCUACCAAGGCGACGAUCAGUAGCGGGUCUGAGAGGAUGAUCCGCCACACUGGGACUGAGACACGGCCCAGACCCCUACGGGAGGCAGCAGUGGGGAAUUUUGGACAAUGGGCGCAAGCCUGAUCCAGCCAUGCCGCGUGUCUGAAGAAGGCCUUCGGGUUGUAAAGGACUUUUGUCAGGGAAGAAAAGGCUGUUGCUAAUACCGACAGCUGAUGACGGUACCUGAAGAAUAAGCACCGGCUAACUACGUG